AUUAGUCGGCCAUAUUUUAAUUUUGAAUCACUCGUAUUUGUGUUUGUUCAGUGUUCGUUGUGAUUUUAAUUUUAUUGUGUUAUUCCCUACGUUUUGGCUUGUUUACGGACUUUUUGAUCUUCUACGUGUUACGACAUCACCUGGAUUGUUAUUUGGACCCCGGACUGAUUGCAUGACUGUUAACUUGGCUCUUUAUUACACGGAUUACAAUUUUUGCAAUUUUGAUUAAGUAUUUUAAAAUGCCGAAAUCAGCUGAAUUAAAAUGUUAUUUCAAAUGUGAUAUUGAUGGACCCUUACAUCGCUUUCCCAAAUGGGAAUAUCCUCAUACAGAGAAGUUAAACCAAUGAAAAUUUUGAAAUUUUGAUAGGAAUGAUCAUGUUAAAAAACAAGCAUCCGAUUAUUAUAAUAAAAGAUGAAAAUAAACAACAGUUUUAUAAAUUCUA
This is a long non-coding RNA of Melitaea cinxia (Glanville fritillary), 443 nucleotides long. RefSeq lists it as uncharacterized. The transcript has 2 exons. The record is from RefSeq and is a predicted model, not a curated record. NCBI's taxonomy places the organism in Eukaryota, Metazoa, Arthropoda, Insecta, Lepidoptera, Nymphalidae.